Molecule: long non-coding RNA, 516 nt
Filed under: Piliocolobus tephrosceles (Ugandan red Colobus)
Lineage: Eukaryota; Metazoa; Chordata; Mammalia; Primates; Cercopithecidae
Description: lncRNA (ENSPTEG00000018183.1)
Source: RNAcentral
GCACUCGCGGCGAGGCACCGUCCCACUCCCCGCCCCCGGGAUGCAGGGCGCGCGCGGCUAUUCGGCAGCUCAAGCCCCGCCCCCACCGUCUCCAUUCUCUGCUCACCCCUCUCCCAGGACACUGCGCAGGCGACACGACGCCCCGCCUGACGCCCCGCCUUUCUCCCCGCCCUGCCGCGCCCCAGGGACGCAGCGCGCACAGGGACGCAGCGCGCACGCAACCGCGUUUCCGGCGCUACCUGGCUGCUGUGCCCCGCAGCUUGUGGCGCUUGUGGACCGCGUGGGCCUGCGGGAGAUCGGUGCGGCUCCUUGGGGAAUUCUUGUUCUCUUUUCUGGACUGAGAAGAGAAGAAUGGAGAAGAGCCCCUUCCCAUUGUGAGUGGACAGUAAAUGGGUAUGGAGUAGCCAGAAGCUUCUGGAAACCAGAGUUCCUUUCCUCAGCUGAAAAGAACCCUAAGAGUAGACUGCCUGGGAUUGCGUGGGGGAUGGGAGGAUCACUGGACCUGUGGGCCAGAGA